GAUGAACGCUGGCGGCGUGCCUAAUACAUGCAAGUCGAGCGAACGGACGAGAAGCUUGCUUCUCUGAUGUUAGCGGCGGACGGGUGAGUAACACGUGGAUAACCUACCUAUAAGGCUGGGAUAACUUCGGGAAACCGGAGCUAAUACCGGAUAAUAUUUUGAACCGCAUGGUUCAAAAGUGAAAGACGGUCUUGCUGUCACUUAUAGAUGGAUCCGCGCUGCAUUAGCUAGUUGGUAAGGUAACGGCUUACCAAGGCAACGAUGCAUAGCCGACCUGAGAGGGUGAUCGGCCACACUGGAACUGAGACACGGUCCAGACUCCUACGGGAGGCAGCAGUAGGGAAUCUUCCGCAAUGGGCGAAAGCCUGACGGAGCAACGCCGCGUGAGUGAUGAAGGUCUUCGGAUCGUAAAACUCUGUUAUUAGGGAAGAACAUAUGUGUAAGUAACUGUGCACAUCUUGACGGUACCUAAGCAGAAAGCCACGGCUAACUACGU
Molecule: ribosomal RNA, 496 nt
Filed under: uncultured bacterium
Lineage: Bacteria
Description: partial 16S ribosomal RNA
Rfam family: Bacterial small subunit ribosomal RNA
Source: RNAcentral